RNAcentral lists this ribosomal RNA (297 nucleotides) under uncultured Pseudomonadota bacterium. Its description in RNAcentral is "uncultured proteobacterium partial 16S ribosomal RNA". It matches the Rfam family "Bacterial small subunit ribosomal RNA", at positions 29 to 351 of the family's 1533-position model. The record is from RNAcentral. Lineage: Bacteria; Pseudomonadati; Pseudomonadota.
AACGAACGCUGGCGGCAGGCUUAACACAUGCAAGUCGAACGGACGUAGCAAUACGUUAGUGGCAGACGGGUGAGUAACGCGUGGGAAUAUGCCCUUUAGUUCGGAACAACUCAGGGAAACUUGAGCUAAUACCGGAUAAGCCCGAGAGGGGAAAGAUUUAUCGCUAAAGGAGUAGCCCGCGUCUGAUUAGCUAGUUGGUGAGGUAAUGGCUCACCAAGGCGACGAUCAGUAGCUGGUCUGAGAGGAUGAUCAGCCACACUGGGACUGAGACACGGCCCAGACUCCUACGGGAGGCUG